This 1977-nucleotide long non-coding RNA is filed under the name Cricetulus griseus (Chinese hamster). Its description in RNAcentral is "lncRNA (ENSCGRG00015039018.1)". The record is from RNAcentral. Lineage: Eukaryota; Metazoa; Chordata; Mammalia; Rodentia; Cricetidae.
UCUAGAAUAAUCUUAAGUUAAUAGAAUCUCUAAGAGUUUUCUCAACUAACUCAAUUAAUUUUUAAUAUGAAUAUCACUUCUCAUUGCACAUCUUCAUGGAUCUACAUGAAUUUUACUUAUCUUAUAUGCUGUGUCAAGGUAUGUGAAAUUUAUCAUAAGUUCUCAUUGAAUCUUCCCCUUCCUUUUAGGGUAUUUAGUUCAAUUUUCAGUUAUAUAUUCACCCGUGGAAUUAUUCACUUAAUAUCUCCCACUCGUUGGACUGGGCUAUACACCAAACAGAGGCAGAGCCUUUCCCUUGGAUCUAGUCACUGAGUAUGAAAUGCUCUCUUGGAGCCAUGUUCUAUAACCCUUGUGGGCAAUUACGACCUUUCAGAGCUUUGGUGGUCAGUGGUGAGCCUUUGCCAUCCAAUGCAACCAAAUCUCGGGAGAACAUUCAGCCCUUUUAUAAUCUGUGUGCCUGGUUUACAAAUGCCUCCUCUAAUUACUCCCCCAAAGGGGAUUCUCCCCUCCCAUGGUAAAAUGAUCUUCCUAAGCAAUGUUUACACUUUCUAUUUUUUCCCCUUCCAGGCUCUGUAGGGGAAGCUGUAGCCACGCCUACUUAGGGCUGGCUACAGGUGUGCCUGACCAUGCUUGCUAGGGCAUGGUCAGGGUGAUGUAGAGUGAGGCUUUCAGGGGACCGCAUUUCUCUUUUGUACUUGAGGACAGACUGCUGCCACACCGGCUGGCUAGGUUGCUCUGAAAACUCAUCUCCAGUAGUCAAAGGACACUACAUGGGUAGAUACUUAAGAAGAGAAGGUAGCUAUAACCAUCAAACAAAAGGAACGUGCUAUAUGGUAAACUUUACAGCUGUAUCUCAGAGAACUCUAUUUCUCCUUAUUUCCUAGUCCCAAUUCAAUUAAACCAAUGCUGUAUUUAGAGGUGGAUUUGGCUUUACUCCUCUAAAAUCCAAGCACAUUAUUUAACUAAACUUUAGAGUUUCUGUAUUGUAUCAAGAAGCCAAUUGAUGUAAUACAGAAUAAAAGAAGAAGUCUUUGUCUUUUCUUGGAUCUUUCUUUCAAGGUGUACACCCUCUCAUAAUCAUUAUUUUCCCAUGGUUGCCUUUCCCAGCAUGUGUACAUCACAAGCAAACAUUUCUCUGCUGUUUAUGGUUGAGUCCACAUAGCCAAUAAAGACCUGCCUGACAGCAAUCCCUAGACACCCUGGAAAGAAAAUGGGCCACACCUCCUUGACUGCACUGGAUCCAACUCUGGCCAGUGGUUCGGGUACUGACUUCAAUCAAGUUGAGGAUUUCAAGCGUGAUCUUCAAUCAAGCUAAUCCCAUCUAACAUGGACUGGAUACAAUCCAUUCAAGGCUUUCACUAUACUAACAUUUUCUUCCUACAGGACCCCACAAGGCUAUUGUCAUCCUGUUUCAGCAGGAAGUAACUUGGAGGAUGCUACUCCCCCUUUCCCCAUUGUUGUCAUUUAGGAUAGUGUAUAUACCUAGUUAGGGAUAGCUUCCUAUUGUUUAUGGUUGGACACCUCUUUCAUAUGACUUUAGGGUUUAGUUAAAAUAGUUAGGAUGUGACAUAAGCAGAUUGUUGUAUCUUCUUAUAUUUUACCUUUGUGAUUGUUAAUUUUGGAUACUUUACACUAAGUUUUAAUCCUCUUUUAGACUAAAAGUGGAAUUGUAGGGGAAGUUGUAGCCACGCCUACUUAGGGGCUGGCUACAGGUGUGCCUGACCACGCUUUCAAGUGCGUGGUCAGGGUGACGUAGAGUGAGGCUUUCAGGGGAUUGCGUUUCUCUUUCAGUUUCACUUUUGUACUUGCGGUACAGACUGCUGCCACGCCGGCUGGCUAGGUUGCCCUGUAAGUAAGGCUUUUCCCUAUUAAAUACCCUUAUAUUUCUAACUGACUCCAUAUUGGUAAUUUCCCACUUUAGGGCUCAAAUGAAGGUCCCACCCGCUUUUAGGUAGAACCUUCAGCCCAUCAUUUGGG